Molecule: transfer RNA, 78 nt
Filed under: Micromonospora pallida
Lineage: Bacteria; Bacillati; Actinomycetota; Actinomycetes; Micromonosporales; Micromonosporaceae
Description: tRNA_Leu_CAA
Rfam family: tRNA
About the family: Transfer RNA (tRNA) molecules are approximately 80 nucleotides in length.
Source: RNAcentral
GCCGAGGUAGCCCAACAGGCACGAGGCGCGGAGCUCAAACCUCCGUCGUUGCGGGUUCGAGUCCCGCCCUCGGCACCC